UCGUACGAGAGUUUUUAACUCUAGUGGCGGACGGGUGAGUAACACGUGAGAAUUUGCCUUUAGGAGGGGGAUAACAAUCGGAAACGAAUGCUAAUACCCCAUAUGCUUUUGAGUGAAAUGGAUUUAUCCGCCUAAAGAGAAGCUCGCGGCUGAUUAGCUUGUUGGUGAGGUAAGAGCUUACCAAGGCGACGAUCAGUAUCUGGUUUGAGAGGACGAUCAGACACACUGGAACUGAGACACGGUCCAGACUCCUACGGGAGGCAGCAGUGGGGAAUUUUCCGCAAUGGGCGAAAGCCUGACGGAGCAAUACCGCGUGAGGGAAGACUGCCUAUGGGUUGUAAACCUCUUUUUUCAGGGAGGAACAAAAUGACGUGUACCUGAAGAAUAAGCAUCGGCUAACUCCGUGCCAGCAGCCGCGGUAAGACGGAGGAUGCAAGUGUUAUCCGGAAUCACUGGGCGUAAAGCGUCUGUAGGUGGUUUAAUAAGUCAACUGUUAAAUCUUGAGGCUCAACUUCAAAAUCGCAGUCGAAACUAUUAGAC
RNAcentral lists this ribosomal RNA (540 nucleotides) under uncultured bacterium. RNAcentral's name for it is "bacterial SSU rRNA". It matches the Rfam family "Bacterial small subunit ribosomal RNA", at positions 62 to 641 of the family's 1533-position model. The record is from RNAcentral.